GAUGAAGAACGUAGUGAAAUGCGAUAAGUAAUGUGAAUUGCAGAAUUCAGUGAAUCAUCGAAUCUUUGAACGCAUCUUGCGCUCCUUGGUAUUCCGAGGAGCAUGCCUGUUUGAGUGUCAUUAAAGUUCUCAACCACGUAAUUACAUAUGUGGCUUGGAUGUGGGGGUUUGCAGGCUUUCUCUGAGGGUCUGCUCCUCUGAAAUGCAUUAGUGGUAUUCCUGAGCUUUACUACAGAUGUGAUAAUUUAUCUACAUCCCAAAAGUAUGCUUCAACAACACCGCUCCUAACAAGCGAAAGCACAUUUCGAUGAAUUUGACCUCAAAUCAGGUAGGACUACCCGCUGAACUUAAGCAUAUCAAUAAGCGGAGGA
This 371-nucleotide unclassified non-coding RNA is filed under the name soil metagenome. Its description in RNAcentral is "partial contains 5.8S ribosomal RNA, internal transcribed spacer 2, and large subunit ribosomal RNA". The stretch from base 1 to 120 matches the Rfam family "5.8S ribosomal RNA", at positions 35 to 154 of the family's 154-position model. The record is from RNAcentral.